This 649-nucleotide unclassified non-coding RNA is filed under the name uncultured Prochlorococcus sp. RNAcentral's name for it is "partial 16S-23S ribosomal RNA intergenic spacer; may also contain 16S ribosomal RNA and 23S ribosomal RNA". The stretch from base 1 to 93 matches the Rfam family "Bacterial small subunit ribosomal RNA", at positions 1441 to 1533 of the family's 1533-position model. The record is from RNAcentral. Lineage: Bacteria; Bacillati; Cyanobacteriota; Cyanophyceae; Synechococcales; Prochlorococcaceae.
UUGUGGAGGAGGACGCCGAAGGUGGGGCUAAUGACUGGGGUGAAGUCGUAACAAGGUAGCCGUACCGGAAGGUGCGGCUGGAUCACCUCCUAACAGGGAGACAACAAAAUGUUUAAUAUUAUUAUUUUGUCACCUUAGGUCGAUCGGUAUCUCACGUUCUUAAAUUUGUUAAGAAUUUCAUUUCCUAAGUUUUUCUAGGUCACACCCAUUAUUUUUCCUGGGCCAUUAGCUCAGGUGGUUAGAGCGCACCCCUGAUAAGGGUGAGGUCCCUGGUUCAAGUCCAGGAUGGCCCAUAUCUCUAUGUUGGGAGUAUAGCUCAGUUGGUAGAGCGCCUGCUUUGCAAGCAGGAUGUCAGCGGUUCGAGUCCGCUUACCUCCACUGAUUACCACCUCUUACAUAACUGGUAAAAAGGAAAUGUUUUGAGUUGUGAUCAUUAUUCUGAACGAAUCUAGCUUCCUAAUGAAAUCAUUAAGAUGCUGGACUCAUUGAAUUAAUUUCAUUGUUUUCAGAGAACCUUGACAACUGCAUAGAUUAUUUUUAAAGACAAUAAGCAUCUUUAAUGAUGCAGAUUUAUUAUUUGUGCGAAUGCAUUAAUAACAAUUCUAUUAAGCUGAUGCUUCAAUUUUUGAAGUUAUUGGUCAAGCUACAA